GUGGGGAAUAUUCCGCAAUGGACGAAAGUCUGACGGAGCAACGCCGCGUGAGUGAUGAAGGUUUUCGGACUGUAAAGCUCUGUUGUUUGGGACGAAAGUGCCUGUUGCGAACAGUUACGGGUAUUGACGGUACUAAACGAGGAAGCCACGGCUAACUACGUGCCAGCAGCCGCGGUAAUACGUAGGUGGCAAGCGUUGUCCGGAAUUAUUGGGCGUAAAGAGCAUGUAGGCGGGAAUCUAAGUCUGUUGUGAAAAUGCGGGGCUCAACCCCGUAUUGCGAUGGAAACUGGGUUUCUUGAGUGCAGGAGAGGAAAGGGGAAUUCCCAGUGUAGCGGUGAAAUGCGUAGAUAUUGGGAGGAACACCAGUGGCGAAGGCGCCUUUCUGGACUGUGUCUGACGCUGAGAUGCGAAAGCCAGGGUAGCGAACGGGAUUAGAAACCCCGGUAGUCC
RNAcentral lists this ribosomal RNA (450 nucleotides) under uncultured bacterium. RNAcentral describes it as "partial 16S ribosomal RNA". It matches the Rfam family "Bacterial small subunit ribosomal RNA", at positions 354 to 796 of the family's 1533-position model. The record is from RNAcentral.